RNAcentral lists this ribosomal RNA (561 nucleotides) under Alcaligenes sp. EGD-AK7. RNAcentral's name for it is "bacterial LSU rRNA". It matches the Rfam family "Bacterial large subunit ribosomal RNA", at positions 1 to 603 of the family's 2925-position model. Lineage: Bacteria; Pseudomonadati; Pseudomonadota; Betaproteobacteria; Burkholderiales; Alcaligenaceae. The record is from RNAcentral.
GUUAUAUGGUCAAGUGAAGAAGCGCAUACGGUGGAUGCCUUGGCAGUCAGAGGCGAUGAAAGACGUGGUAGCCUGCGAAAAGCUUCGGGGAGUCGGCAAACAGACUUUGAUCCGGAGAUGUCUGAAUGGGGGAACCCAGCCAUCAUAAGAUGGUUAUCACACACUGAAUACAUAGGUGUGUGAGGCGAACCAGGGGAACUGAAACAUCUAAGUACCCUGAGGAAAAGAAAUCAACCGAGAUUCCCUUAGUAGUGGCGAGCGAACGGGGACUAGCCCUUAAGCUUCUUUGAUUUUAGCGGAACGCUCUGGAAAGUGCGGCCAUAGUGGGUGAUAGCCCUGUACGCGAAAAGGUCUUAGAAGUGAAAUCGAGUAGGACGGAGCACGAGAAACUUUGUCUGAAUAUGGGGGGACCAUCCUCCAAGGCUAAAUACUACUGACUGACCGAUAGUGAACCAGUACCGUGAGGGAAAGGCGAAAAGAACCCCGGAGAGGGGAGUGAAAUAGAACCUGAAACCGUAUGCGUACAAGCAGUGGGAGCCUACUUUGUUAGGUGACUGCGUA